Molecule: ribosomal RNA, 600 nt
Filed under: Limosilactobacillus ingluviei
Lineage: Bacteria; Bacillati; Bacillota; Bacilli; Lactobacillales; Lactobacillaceae
Description: bacterial SSU rRNA
Rfam family: Bacterial small subunit ribosomal RNA
Source: RNAcentral
UGUGCCUAAUACAUGCAAGUCGAACGCGUUGGCCCAAUUGAUUGAUGGUGCUUGCACCUGAUUGAUUUUGGUCGCCAACGAGUGGCGGACGGGUGAGUAACACGUAGGUAACCUGCCCAGAAGCGGGGGACAACAUUUGGAAACAGAUGCUAAUACCGCAUAACAGCGUUGUUCGCAUGAACAACGCUUAAAAGAUGGCUUCUCGCUAUCACUUCUGGAUGGACCUGCGGUGCAUUAGCUUGUUGGUGGGGUAACGGCCUACCAAGGCGAUGAUGCAUAGCCGAGUUGAGAGACUGAUCGGCCACAAUGGGACUGAGACACGGCCCAUACUCCUACGGGAGGCAGCAGUAGGGAAUCUUCCACAAUGGGCGCAAGCCUGAUGGAGCAACACCGCGUGAGUGAAGAAGGUGUCUGCGGCUCGUAAAGCUCUGUUGUUAAAGAAGAACACGUAUGAGAGUAACUGUUCAUACGUUGACGGUAUUUAACCAGAAAGUCACGGCUAACUACGUGCCAGCAGCCGCGGUAAUACGUAGGUGGCAAGCGUUAUCCGGAUUUAUUGGGCGUAAAGAGAGUGCAGGCGGUUUUCUAAGUCUGAUGUGA